UACGUAGGGGGCUAGCGUUGUCCGGAUUUAUUGGGCGUAAAGAGCGUGUAGGCGGCCAGGUAGGUCUGCUGUGAAAACUGGAGGCUCAACCUUCAGAGGUCGACCGAAACCAUCUGGCUAGAGUCCGGGAGAGGAGAGUGGAAUUCCUGGUGUAGCGGUGAAAUGUGCAGAUAUCAGGAGGAACACCGGUGGCGAAGGCGGGUCUCUGGGCAGUAACUGACGCUGAGGAGCGAAAGCGUGGGGAGCGAACAGG
RNAcentral lists this ribosomal RNA (253 nucleotides) under uncultured bacterium. RNAcentral's name for it is "partial 16S ribosomal RNA". It matches the Rfam family "Bacterial small subunit ribosomal RNA", at positions 524 to 776 of the family's 1533-position model. The record is from RNAcentral.